This 465-nucleotide ribosomal RNA is filed under the name uncultured bacterium. RNAcentral describes it as "partial 16S ribosomal RNA". It matches the Rfam family "Bacterial small subunit ribosomal RNA", at positions 28 to 507 of the family's 1533-position model. The record is from RNAcentral.
GACGAACGCUGGCGGCGUGCUUAACACAUGCAAGUCGAACGGAAAGGCCCUGCUUGCAGGGUACUCGAGUGGCGAACGGGUGAGUAACACGUGGGUGAUCUGCCCUGCACUUCGGGAUAAGCCUGGGAAACUGGGUCUAAUACCGGAAAGGCGCCAUUUUUAGUGUGAUGGUUGGAAAGUUUUUUCGGUGUAGGAUGAGCUCGCGGCCUAUCAGCUUGUUGGUGGGGUAAUGGCCUACCAAGGCGGCGACGGGUAGCCGGCCUGAGAGGGUGGACGGCCAAAUAGGGACUGAGAUACGGCCCAGACUCCUACGGGAGGAAGCAGUGGGGAAUAUUGCACAAGGGGCGCAAGCCUGAUGCAGCGACGCCGCGUGGGGGAUAACGGCCUUCGGGUUGUAAACUCCUUUCGCUAGAGACGAAGCUUUUUGUGACGGUACCUAGAUAAGAAGCACCGGCUAACUACGUG